GCGGGUGUAGUUCAGUGGUAGAACAAUAGCUUCCCAAGCUAUGUGUCGCGAGUUCGAGUCUCGUCACCCGCUCCA
Molecule: transfer RNA, 75 nt
Filed under: Phascolarctobacterium faecium
Lineage: Bacteria; Bacillati; Bacillota; Negativicutes; Acidaminococcales; Acidaminococcaceae
Also listed under: 5 other names
Description: tRNA-Gly
Rfam family: tRNA
About the family: Transfer RNA (tRNA) molecules are approximately 80 nucleotides in length. Their secondary structure includes four short double-helical elements and three loops (D, anti-codon, and T loops).
Source: RNAcentral